Molecule: ribosomal RNA, 496 nt
Filed under: uncultured bacterium
Lineage: Bacteria
Description: partial 16S ribosomal RNA
Rfam family: Bacterial small subunit ribosomal RNA
Source: RNAcentral
GAUGAACGCUGGCGGCGUGCCUAAUACAUGCAAGUCGAGCGAACAGACGAGGAGCUUGCUCCUCUGACGUUAGCGGCGGACGGGUGAGUAACACGUGGAUAACCUACCUAUAAGACUGGGAUAACUUCGGGAAACCGGAGCUAAUACCGGAUAAUAUAUUGAACCGCAUGGUUCAAUAGUGAAAGACGGUUUUGCUGUCACUUAUAGAUGGAUCCGCGCCGCAUUAGCUAGUUGGUAAGGUAACGGCUUACCAAGGCAACGAUGCGUAGCCGACCUGAGAGGCUGUCCGCCCAACGGGUAGUUAGGACCCGCACCAUCAUCGCCCGGUGGCCAGAGAUUAGAAUGCUUCACAAGUGGAGGAAGGCUGACAGAGUCAUAACAGGUUGGAUAUGAAAGUGUUGCGAUACCAAAAUUCUGUUAAUGAGGGAAGAAAAAAUGUUCAUGAACUAUGCACGUCUUGACGGUACCUAAUCAGAGAGCCACGGCUAACUACGUG